This is a long non-coding RNA of Physeter macrocephalus (sperm whale), 1624 nucleotides long. RefSeq lists it as uncharacterized. Lineage: Eukaryota; Metazoa; Chordata; Mammalia; Artiodactyla; Physeteridae. The transcript has 3 exons. The record is from RefSeq and is a predicted model, not a curated record.
CAGGGGCACACGGUUAGGAAGCGAAGGAGCCUUGGAGUCUAACCCGGGCAAGCAGCGUUCUUGAUAAUUACAUCCUAGGGCUUUCAGAAUCUCGGGGGACGGAACAGGAGCCCAGGAGUCGUCCUGGACCCCUCUCAUCCGCUCACCUUCUGUAUCCAGUUCAUCACAGGUCUGUGGGUUGUACCAUUCCAAGCCCAUCCAUUCAUCUUCACCACCACCAUCAGCAUCCUCGUAGAGCUUCAAUAAUUUCUGUUCCAGGUGACUGAAACUGCCCACGAACUGGGUCAGGCAUGCACCCCUGCGUCCUCAUCCCUCACCAUUUUUCUUUUUUAAAACUGAGGAUGCUCAGGUCUUCUAUUCUAGAGCCAUCUUUGUCUUUCAGAUAGGACUGAAAUCACGAAAUUUCCCUAGUCCAACCUGGAGCUUGAUUUCCUUGCUGACGUGGGAUUGGGAUUUACGAAGACUGCACGCGGAGUCCCAGCUCCUCAUCCCAAGGCUACGUGACGUCUCUGUCCUUGCUCUUCUCACCGUCACACAGGAGCCUAAGAGAGAGCCCGGUACCCGACGGGCCCCCCCGCACAGCGCGAGGGCGGGGCAGGAAGCCGGCCGGGGUGCCGUGAGGGAGACGGAGGCAACUGGGGCCCGGAGCCCGCGCUCCAAGAAAAUUACAGCACCCCCCGGGGGGUUAGAACAAGAUCCACGUCCUUAAGGAACCUCGCAUUGCCCAACGUGCUGAGCCCAUGGCGGGGAACGCAGUCUGCACGCGAGAGGGCUGCCACGCCCUGUGCAUGCGAUUCCCCACGUCUGACUGGGGACAGGUGCAGCUCCUAUCGGGGGUGGGGGGGUGGGGAGACGACCUGGUGGCCAGUCACCCUCACAUCUGCGUCGAUUUAGGAGAAGUGGAAGCAGGCAGCUGUAACAGUCCGGCAACGGGGAGAUCACAACACCACCAAGCAAGGAGACUGAAGGCCAGUAAAAACGUCCCACUGCUUAAAAAAUACCAAAAUGAAGAUAAAAAGUAAAUCCAGGGGAAAACUACCAGGAGACUAUUUCCAACAACAGAUGACUCAACGAGCACCUGAGAAUUUGUUGUACUUGUAUGUGCCGAGGUUCUGAACUUCCUGUUUCAAUAAAAUACCAAACAAGUUGUGUUUCCUUUAUAAAUAAGCUAUUACAUCAAGCCCUGUUCCUAUAAUUUCAGGUUUUUGUCUCCAUUCCAACAUUUUCUUUGGCAAAUGUAGAAACAUUCUAAUUAAAGUGGAGAGGAAAACAAGCAUCAUUCAUCACGAUAAGAAUAAUGCACAAAAGCACAUCCUCGUUUUUUCAUUCUUUCGCAGAGUUAUGCUCCACUGUGAACAGUGUGGGACUGGCGUCAUGCAGUCCCAGGCUAAUUCCCAGGUAAUGACUUGAAGCAAGCCCGAGUCACUGGAGGAUAGAAUUAAUUCCAAAGGUAUCAAUAAUUCCUGUCACAAGCUUAACAUUCUCUUAAAAAUAUCCUUCCGGGCCGAAGAGGAAGGCAUUCCUUUAGGUAAUCACGUAACAACAUCAAGGUUUCUUUUUAAGAUUCCGAGAUUAGAAGAGGCCUUCCUAUUUAUAACCACGCAAGCCCAAGUUGAAAGGACUA